Molecule: ribosomal RNA, 502 nt
Filed under: uncultured bacterium
Lineage: Bacteria
Description: partial 16S ribosomal RNA
Rfam family: Bacterial small subunit ribosomal RNA
Source: RNAcentral
AUUGAACGCUGGCGGCGUGCCUAACACAUGCAAGUCGAGCGGUAACAGGUGUAGCAAUACAUGCUGACGAGCGGCGAACGGGUGAGUAAUGCUUCGGAAUCUACCUUAUGGUGGGGAAUAACCAGCCGAAAGGUUAGCUAAUACCGCAUACGUCCUACGGGAGAACGCAGGCGAUCGCAAGACCUUGCGCCAAAAGAUGCGCCGAAGUCGGAUUAGCUAGUUGGUAGGGUAACGGCCUACCAAGGCGACGAUCCGUAGCUGGUCUGAGAGGACGACCAGCCACACUGGGACUGAGACACGGCCCAGACUCCUACGGGAGGCAGCAGUGGGGAAUAUUGGACAAUGGGGGAAACCCUGAUCCAGCGACGCCGCGUGUGUGAAGAAGGCCUGCGGGUUGUAAAGCACUUUUAGUGGGGAUGAAAUGUGCAGGGUUAAUACCUCUGCAUUUUGACCUAACCCACAGAAAAAGCACCGGCUAACUCUGUGCCAGCCGCCGCCGUAA